GGGCGGCAACGGGUCAAGAUUGCCCAUUGCACGUCGUCCAUGCUGUAGAUGUCGACGUCGGUGUCGAUGACCGUAAUCUGCUUGGCCCAGAUUGGCUCGGCGCCGAUCGUCGCC
RNAcentral lists this small RNA (114 nucleotides) under Sinorhizobium meliloti 2011. Its description in RNAcentral is "putative ncRNA". The record is from RNAcentral. Lineage: Bacteria; Pseudomonadati; Pseudomonadota; Alphaproteobacteria; Hyphomicrobiales; Rhizobiaceae.